RNAcentral lists this ribosomal RNA (301 nucleotides) under uncultured bacterium. RNAcentral's name for it is "partial 16S ribosomal RNA". It matches the Rfam family "Bacterial small subunit ribosomal RNA", at positions 509 to 807 of the family's 1533-position model. The record is from RNAcentral.
CAGUAGCCGCGGUAAAACGUAGGUGGCAAGCGUUGUCCGGAAUUAUUGGGCGUAAAGGGCUCGCAGGCGGUUUCUUAAGUCUGAUGUGAAAACCCCCGGCUCAACCGGGGAGGGUCAUUGGAAACUGGGAAACUUGAGUGCAGAAGAGGAGAGUGGAAUUCCACGUGUAGCGGUGAAAUGCGUAGAGAUGUGGAGGAACACCAGUGGCGAAGGCGACUCUCUGGUCUGUAACUGACGCUGAGGAGCGAAAGCGUGGGGAGCGAACAGGAUUAGAUACCCCUGUAGUCCCUGUCUCUUAUAC